This 6949-nucleotide long non-coding RNA is filed under the name Coffea arabica (coffee). RNAcentral describes it as "long non-coding RNA (CARA_LNC001501)". The record is from RNAcentral. Lineage: Eukaryota; Viridiplantae; Streptophyta; Magnoliopsida; Gentianales; Rubiaceae.
CUGCAACAAACAGCUUAUGUAGAAAAGUUUAAAUUGAAAACAACGCACGAAGCUGUAACUCAAAUUGUGAUUAUCAGUUAAGUAAUUGGAAUGUUCAGUCAGACCUCAUCAUUGGUCCUAGAUUUAUUAAUUGAGAUUUCUCUUCCCCAAGGUUCUGCUUCAGCUGAUUGUUUUCCUUCCUUCACUUCAUUCUGUUCUCCACUAAGGUCUUUUGCCUCUAAGUACUCCUUAGGUGGUUUAGUUGAUAUCAUAACCUUUCUUUUCAAGGAUUCUGGCGAGGGAAACUCUCUUAGACCGUCUGAUCCAGGUACGAACAGCAUAUCUCCAAAUGUUUCAUUAAUCAUCUAAGAUUUUUUAGACAUUGCAAAUGUUAGCAGUAGAGCAAUGAAAGUACUAGUUACUCUCUGUCCAAAGUGCAAUUUUACACACCUCAGCUACUUUAGCUUGAAGAUGCCGAGGAAGAUGGUCUUCAAGUGUGAUAACAACAGGAUACUCGGAUGCAGAGAAUGCAUGCUCUUUAAUAGACCUCAAGCAUUUGAUGAGUUGCACAGGAGUUGUCAGCGUCCUGUAUAAGAAAGUAGAUAUCUUGGCUAAUUACAACUUCAUUUCCAACUUGGAACCAAUUAAUGUCCGACUCAAAAAGAAUCCAUACACAAAUUGAGUUAAUUUCUUCGAUGAAGAUCAGUACCUUCCAUGCAGGACAUCAACAUCAUCUUUUGUGGAAUUAGGCCAUAUAUCCAAUUCGAUUACUCUCACACCAUUCUGGAGUGCAUUUAUUAUAGGGACAUCGCUGCAGUCACUACUUAGCUGAUUCCCAGUCAAAUAAGAAUUAUGCCCGGUAUAUAUAUAGUAAUGAGACAAUGGAUCAUGCAUAUCAUGAUGAACCUGUUUUGUUUGAAACAAAAAACCCACCUCAUAAUCAUUUAAAAAAAAAAUCAACUCUGAUGCUUAGAAAUUGAUAUAAAUGGAGAAGAAAUGGAAUUACCCCGCGACGAGGAUCAAUAGGAGGAUUAAUAUCUCCAAAAAGAUACUUGAAAAAUUGCUCAAGAUUAAGACCGCUGCGAUGGAAAAUGUUGAGGUGUUUAGGCUCAUGAAGGCUAUUUAUGAUGGCUCCAGCAUCCUCCACCGUGGCAUUCUCUUGCUUUUGAACUUCAACCAAGAAACGAUGGAGGUUAUCAACGCUUAUGGUCCCGUUUUCGGAGUAGCGGUCGAAUAUGGACUUGAUUUCAGCCGGGGCCUCUGCAGAAGCCAGCUUGAACCUUCGCCGGCAACAAAAGCAUACUCUGUAGGUCUGUUUAGACAUGCGAUUGGAUUUUGGAUUUACGUCAACUAAAAGUGAAAGAAGAGAAGAGGAGUAGAGUUGAUUAUGGAUGUUGAGGAUUGAGGAUCUUAGGUGUUUUUUUUUAUCAAGGAUGGGAUUUGAGGAUAGCUUUGCUUGUGAAGAUGGGAAGGCAUUUCCGGAGAUUGGACCGGGCAAAGUUCACUGUCGAACUCGGAACCAAAUCCAACCAACCGAACUUUUUCCUACAGGGAAAAAAAAAAAAAGAAAAGAAAAGAAAAAGAUAACGAUUCUGGUUUGGGAAACCUUUCAAUCGUUGGAUUUUGUUUGUGGAUAAAGGUCGGGUUCUGGUAAGGUUGCAAUAUCCUGCAAUUCUGGAACGUCCCCAACCUUUACGCUUUACUUCUUAUUGGUCCAGCUCUGGUGGUGAGCUGUGAGGUCAUUGUUGAUUGUUUCUCCUUUUUGUCUCCAUGCAUACAGCUGGUUGCCCCGCUGGGCCGGCCACCAUUGGAUCAAAGAAAAUUGUGUCUAAUUCAGUCAAUCAAUCAAUGAGGCCCUCCACCUCAUUAUCGAGUGGAGGAGUGUCACCAAUGAACAACCCCAAUUAAAUCCCAUUACUUGCAAAGAUAAUCACAUUUCAUUUCACGUAUUUUUUUGUCAUCUAAGGAGUAAUAAUUAAAGAGUAAAUUUCAUAUGCACUAUAAGUAUACACACUAUCACGAAUAAAUGGAUGACACGUAAUCAAAUUUUACACAUGUAUUAUAUAUUUAAUAGUGAUAGUGUAUAUAAGAUUAAUUCAUGAUUAAAUCCCAUUACUUACAAAGAAUAUCAUAUUCACGUACCCCUUUUGUCAUCUAAAGAGUAAUAAUUAAACAUUAAAGAGCCUUUUUUUGGGAUAAUUUCAGAAACCGUCCCUAAUAUUUUUGACAAUUUCACUAAGCACCUCUAAGGUUUAGAAAAAGAAACUUAUUCAUCUCUAAGAUGUUUUGCUUGCAGGGAAUUGUCUCUAAUUAGUUGUUGCAAGAUACGAUAUUUGCGCAGUGAAGAAAUCUUCUGACUAUUUUGGCCUUUCAAUUAUGUUUAAAUUGUCUGCUCACUUCUCCUCUUUUUUUUUUAACUUAAAAUGCAACAAAAAAUUAAACUGACAAUAAGAUGAUAGAUAGUUAAAUGAAAAAAAAAAGGGGACAAUUUUCAUUCUUUGACUCUUUGAAUUAGAUAUGAAGCAGGAUAAAUUUGUGCCUCAACAGGAUGAUAUAAAUUUGUGGCGAACUGGUUAUAAAGUUACAACUCACUGAAAUUCGCAGAGAAUCCGGUUCCCUGGCAUUGCCACCCCACCAAUCAGAGAGCAAUGCCCUUUGUGUUUCGCUGAUGUCUACAAGAAAAUGUUUACUUGAACCAUUUUUUUUUCAAAAAAAAAAAAAGAAGUUGUAUCUUGUUACUGCAAUUGCAGCACUCCUCUGUACAAACGAUCUGGUCGCGCAAAUCCAACUCUACUACAACAUUAAGGAUGGAAAAGAAGCGCGUCGCGGGCGGGCUUGAAGGAUGCAGUAGGGUUCAUAUAAACUGGAACCGCAUCAGAAGCCUUACAGAUCUAAGUUUCUCUCCUUUCUUAUCGUAAAUUGGAACUGCUCGGAUCCCCGGUCUCAACUCCGAAACAGGCAAGCAUGUCUGUCCCCCAAAAUCAUCCUUCUCCGACAUGUCAUGCUCACGGAUUUCAAUCCGAAGCAAAGCUAACUCAGGAACUGUCAAUGGGAAUGUGAAAUCCUCAUCCCAUAUCGGUCCCCAGUCAUCCUCUAUUAUCCUCGUCUUUUUCUUGGCCUCAUCUGCAGGCACUCCUACCAUCUGAACCUGCAGUUCAUGAGGAAAUUAUCUUAGGCUCAACCUAUUGAACAAGAUUUAAUAUGUUAAGGAGGAAACAAAACAGAAGAAAUAGAUGAACGCGUCAACAGAAGCAGCAGAUUGCAACAAUAUAUCAGUUCAGCCACUCAUUACAUGGGUAUAAGCUCGCCAGAAGUUCCAUUUUCGAACGUCUUAAAAGUUACCAUCGCAUCAAAACAGGAAAUAUCAUAUCAUAUCUAUCAGGAUAACACUUUUAAACCAAUUUUAGUCGCUGACCUUUGUGUAGAAGUCUGGCGGUGAAUAUGAAUCAAAAUGUGUGUGACUGAAAUCUAAUCGCCAUCCAUCUCCCAAAUACACGCUUACCUGUGGAAAAAAUGAUUAAGCUGUAAUUAAUAUAAGUCAUCGGGCGGUUGGAGUUUGCAAUAGCCACUGUCAGAAAGGUGCUCACCUUUAAAGUUUUCUUAACUGGCAAUUUUACUUUAGGAUCAAAUAGCUCAUUCCGCGGUCCCCUUUUCAUGAGAAAGUCAGGCUUCUUAACGUAACCGCAACCUCCAUUAGAUCCGAACAACCCAUGCAUCAACCAAAGUGAUUUUCCAUACCCCUGUUUGUUUGGGUUAAGAAAGAAAAUGAUUUCACUAAAUCCGUUGGUGAAAAGAAUCCUCAACUAAGAUGAAUACAUGCCGACACAAAUGUGGUAAUCAUAAUCAAAUUAUGAAAGUCGAUUGCUUGCUUGUGUACUGUUUCUGUGAUGCAUGUUACCAUUGAUGCAACAGAAGUCAUUGAUGGUUUAUCCCUCGCACAAACUGCUUGUCCAUGCUGACAUGUGAGCAUGGAGCAGUGUAUAGAUGCUGUAUUAGCAGAUUUGCAUGACAUUCUACUUGGAUCACUAUUUACGACAAAGACAAUAAGGAUUUCUGGAAAUGCCAGAGAAGUUAAUUCAAUAAAACUUUUAAUGUAAUUAAACUGCCGGGAAGUGUUAUGUUUAAGAUAAGGACAGUGAAUGAGUGCAUGACCAAGCUCGGAUUGCCAUUCCAGGAGUUUAGGAACACAAGAUUUGAAAACUGACCUGCAUAUUGAAUGCAAGCAUUUGAGCUCCAUGCGUCCAGCCAACUAAAGGGUGAAAAUUGGACGAGGUUACUCUUGUUCCCUUUGGAAACACCCUCAGAAUAUUCUUCUGUGUAAACCUAGAAUUCAAAACUGAAUUCAGCUAAAACAAAAUGUUGGUAGAAGACCAGAUGGGACAGCUAUUGUGAACGUCAAAAGCAAUCUAGCAAUCUUCAACUUUUACUUCAAGUGAAUACCUCACAACAUCAGUUCCAUAUAAAGAUGCAGCCCUUUCAAGGUCUUGUUCAGUCAAACUAAGACGCUUAACUUUGUCCAGCCCAGUUACUAAUGCGUGCCUCAACCCCUGUUUUGCCUUCCCAGCAUGAAUAGCAAUGAGACGCUUGUACUCCGGUGCUGCUAGUUGGGAUGAUUUUUGGUUUUGGAUGUCUCCAUCUUCAUCAUCUGGAUCACUAUCGUACUGAAAUCAUAAACCAAUAAACAUUGCAGAUGAAAUUUUGAGUAAUAUUCAACGGAUGACAAGAAAGAUUCUAUGAAAUGUACCUUUGGGUCGCCCUCCAACGUAUCCUUCAUAAAAAAAUCAUCUUCAGAAGAAUCCUUUUCCGCAGGUGAAGAAGUUCCUUCUUUCUGAUUCUUUAUUUCAAGGUACUCUUUUGGUGGUUUGGUUGAAAGAAUUAUUCGAUGCUUCAAUGCUUCCGGAGAGGGAAAUUCUUCUAAGCAUCCCGACUCCGGGUAAUACAGCAUUUCUCCAAAAAUUUGAAUUACCAUCUAGAAGCAGAUAGGUUAUAUCAGUUGCAAUGUUGAUGUUUUCUCAGUCUUAAAAAAAAAGGAAGAACAAAUAGCGAGAAACUCCAACCUCUGCAACUUUAGCCUGAAGGUCCGGAGUGAGGUGAUCCUCCAAAGUAAUUAUUACAGGGUAGGGAGAUUUGACAAAAGCAUGCUCCCUAAUAGACUUCAAGCAUUUAAUGAGUGGCACUGGAGUGGUCAGCGUCCUGAAAAUGAUCAACAAGGUUAAAUUUUCUUACAUUGCCAUUUCCGGUAAGAGAAAAUUUAGAAGUGUCCCUAAAAAUAGACGCAGCAAAAUUGAAAUGUGAAUAUAUAUCAGACAAAUAGUUUCUGGCACAGAUUUCUAAAUGUGGACAACUAGAGCAAAGCAAAUGAUAGAGAAACCCAUGCUGGUUAUUUUGGGAACACGAGAAGAUAUUUGCCUAUUUAUGCAAUUACAUUACAGAUUAGAAAAUUUAUUUUAUUUUUCUUGAAAAUUUGUCAGACAGCUUAUACUGAUGUAAAACUCAUCUCACCUUCAGUGUAGUUUUAACUGGUAAUUUGGCUUUAGGGUCAAAAAUCUCAUUACCAGUCUUCAAUAAGAUAUCUGGUUUUCUAACAUAUCCACAGCCACCAUUGGCCCUGAACAUUCCACGCAUCACCCAGAGUGAUCUUCCAUAACCCUGUUGAAGAAAAUUGUCACUGAAAAUUUCCUUGAAAUAGACUUUGGCCUAAUUACUAUAAAUUAAAAUGAAAGGUGCCAAUAAAUUUACAUUGUAAUAUGCCAACAUCGAAGAACAAUAUGACAAUCAAGAUAAAAUGAUAACCUGCAUGUUUAGUGCGACCAUCUGUGCCCCAUGCAUCCAUCCAAUGAGGGGAUUGUAAUUAGAUGAGUCAAAACGUAUUCCCUUUGGGUAUACUCUCAACAAGUUCCUCUGAGUAAAACUGAAAGAGGAAUAUAGAAAAGCCUGGACAGCUUAUUAAUUGGAAAUGAUUACUUAAUUCAAGCGCAAGGUCAAGAAUUGAAGCCUAAAGAGAGGUAUUAUGGAUUAUGUUGUCGAUUGGAGCAUCAAUGCAGCAAGAUUCAAGGAUGAAACAGUACAUUUUACAGGGCCUAGAUGAUCGAACUACAUACCAUGACUAUAAAACCCCAUUAAUGAAGGCAAAAUAAGCUGAAUACAUGUGUAUCUGAGUAUCCAGCAAGAACAAUUGUUCUAACUAUGACGAUCUAUAGUAAUCAGGAUGACAUCUCUCAGGAUUACUUUUAUACCAUUUACAAUGCAGGGAAACCCCUAGAGAAGUCAAGCAAAAGCUACUGCACGAAGUAUGCACUGGUUGUAUGUUGUAGACAAAGUAACAUGAUCAACAUAGUACCUUAUAAUUUCUUUUGCAUGAGUUACAGCAGCCUUCUCAAGUUCUAGCUCACUUAAACUAAGGCGUCUCACUUUGUUAGGAUCGAGCCUCAGCCAAUCAUCCAGUCCACCCUUUCCCUUUCCAGCAUGGAUUGCAAUCAAACGUUUAUAUUCUGGGACUGCAAUUUGCUGAGACUUGCGAUCUACUUCAUCAUCGUCAUCGUCCUCAUGAGCUUCCUCUUCAUUGAGAUCAUCCUGCAACAAACAGCUUAUGUAGAAAAGUUUAAAUUGAAAACAACGCACGAAGCUGUAACUCAAAUUGUGAUUAUCAGUUAAGUAAUUGGAAUGUUCAGUCAGACCUCAUCAUUGGUCCUAGAUUUAUUAAUUGAGAUUUCUCUUCCCCAAGGUUCUGCUUCAGCUGAUUGUUUUCCUUCCUUCACUUCAUUCUGUUCUCCACUAAGGUCUUUUGCCUCUAAGUACUCCUUAGGUGGUUUAGUUGAUAUCAUAACCUUUCUUUUCAAGGAUUCUGGCGAGGGAAACUCUCUUAGACCGUCUGAUCCAGGUACGAACAGCAUAUCUCCAAAUGUUUCAUUAAUCAUCUAAGAUUUUUUAGACAUUGCAAAUGUUAGCAGUAGAGCAAUGAAAGUACUAG